This 497-nucleotide ribosomal RNA is filed under the name uncultured bacterium. Its description in RNAcentral is "partial 16S ribosomal RNA". It matches the Rfam family "Bacterial small subunit ribosomal RNA", at positions 28 to 507 of the family's 1533-position model. The record is from RNAcentral.
GAUGAACGCUGGCGGCGUGCCUAAUACAUGCAAGUCGAGCGAACAGACGAGGAGCUUGCUCCUCUGACGUUAGCGGCGGACGGGUGAGUAACACGUGGAUAACCUACCUAUAAGACUGGGAUAACUUCGGGAAACCGGAGCUAAUACCGGACAAUAUAUUGAACCGCAUGGUUCAAUGGUGAAAGACGGUUUUGCUGUCACUUAUAGAUGGAUCCGCGCCGCAUUAGCUAGUUGGUAAGGUAACGGCUUACCAAGGCAACGAUGCGUAGCCGACCUGAGAGGGUGAUCGGCCACACUGGAACUGAGACACGGUCCAGACUCCUACGGGAGGCAGCAGUAGGGAAUCUUCCGCAAUGGGCGAAAGCUUGACGGAGCAACGCCGCGUGAGUGAUGAAGGUCUUCGGAUCGUAAAACUCUGUUAUUAGGGAAGAACAAAUGUGUAAGUAACUAUGCACGUCUUGACGGUACCUAAUCAGAAAGCCACGGCUAACUACGUG